Molecule: ribosomal RNA, 433 nt
Filed under: uncultured bacterium
Lineage: Bacteria
Description: partial 16S ribosomal RNA
Rfam family: Bacterial small subunit ribosomal RNA
Source: RNAcentral
AACGAACGCUGGCGGCAUGCCUAACACAUGCAAGUCGAACGAGACCUUCGGGCCUAGUGGCGCACGGGUGCGUACCGCGUGGGAACUUGCCCUUAGGUUCGGAAUAACUCCCCGAAAGGGGUGUUAAUACCGGUUAAUGUCUUCGGACCUAAGAUUUAUCGCUUUGGGAUGGGCCCGGGUUGGAUUCGCUAGUUGGUAGGGUAAUAGCCUAGCAUGGACAGGAUGCAUAGCUGGUCGGAGAGGAUGACUAGCCACGCUGGAACUGAGACACGGCCCAGACCCGGACGGAAGGGUGCAGUGGAGAAUAUUGGGCAAGGGGGGAAGGCCUGGUCCAGCAAUGCCGGGGGAGUGAUGAAGGCCUUAGGGUUGUAAAGCUCUUUGACCCGGGAUGAUAAUGACAGUACCGGGAGAAUAAGCACCGGCUAACUCCGUG